AACGAACGCUGGCGGCAUGCCUAACACAUGCAAGUCGAACGAGACCUUCGGGUCUAGUGGCGCACGGGUGCGUAACGCGUGGAACCUGCCUUUAGGUUCGGAAUAACUCAGAGAAAUUUGAGCUAAUACCGGAUGAUGUCUUCGGACCAAAGAUUUAUCGCCUUUAGAUGGGCCCGCGUUGGAUUAGCUAGUUGGUGGGGUAAAGGCCUACCAAGGCGACGAUCCAUAGCUGGUCUGAGAGGAUGAUCAGCCACACUGGGACUGAGACACGGCCCAGACUCCUACGGGAGGCAGCAGUGGGGAAUAUUGGACAAUGGGCGAAAGCCUGAUCCAGCAAUGCCGCGUGAGUGAUGAAGGCCUUAGGGUUGUAAAGCUCUUUUACCCGAGAUGAUAAUGACAGUAUCGGGAGAAUAAGCUCCGGCUAACUCCGUG
Molecule: ribosomal RNA, 432 nt
Filed under: uncultured bacterium
Lineage: Bacteria
Description: partial 16S ribosomal RNA
Rfam family: Bacterial small subunit ribosomal RNA
Source: RNAcentral